RNAcentral lists this ribosomal RNA (492 nucleotides) under uncultured bacterium. RNAcentral describes it as "partial 16S ribosomal RNA". It matches the Rfam family "Bacterial small subunit ribosomal RNA", at positions 29 to 507 of the family's 1533-position model. The record is from RNAcentral.
AGUGAACGCUGGCGGUAGGCCUAACACAUGCAAGUCGAACGGCAGCACAGUAAGAGCUUGCUCUUACGGGUGGCGAGUGGCGGACGGGUGAGGAAUACAUCGGAAUCUACUUUUUCGUGGGGGAUAACGUAGGGAAACUUACGCUACUACCGCAUACGACCUACGGGUGAAAGCAGGGGAUCUUCGGACCUUUCGCGAUUGAAUGAGCCGAUGUCGGAUUAGCUAGUUGGCGGGGUAAAGGCCCACCAAGGCGACGAUCCGUAGCUGGUCUGAGAGGAUGAUCAGCCACACUGGAACUGAGACACGGUCCAGACUCCUACGGGAGGCAGCAGUGGGGAAUAUUGGACAAAGGGCGCAAGCCUGAUCCAGCCAUACCGCGUGGGUGAAGAAGGCCUUCGGGUUGUAAAGCCCUUUUGUUGGGAAAGAAAAGCAGCAGGUUAAUACCCCGCUGUUCUGACGGUACCCAAAGAAUAAGCACCGGCUAACUUCGUG